CAGUAGCCGCGGUAAUACGUAGGUCCCGAGCGUUGUCCGGAUUUAUUGGGCGUAAAGCGAGCGCAGGCGGUUAGAUAAGUCUGAAGUUAAAGGCUGUGGCUUAACCGUAGUACGCUUUGGAAACUGUUUAACUUGAGUGCAAGAGGGGAGAGUGGAAUUCCAUGUGUAGCGGUGAAAUGCGUAGAUAUAUGGAGGAACACCGGUGGCGAAAGCGGCCCUCUGGCUUGUAACUGACGCUGAGGCUCGAAAGCGUGGGGAGCAAACAGGAUUAGAUACCCCCGUAGUCCCUGUCUCUUAUACA
This 301-nucleotide ribosomal RNA is filed under the name uncultured bacterium. RNAcentral's name for it is "partial 16S ribosomal RNA". It matches the Rfam family "Bacterial small subunit ribosomal RNA", at positions 509 to 808 of the family's 1533-position model. The record is from RNAcentral.